UACGGAGGGGGCUAGCGUUGUUCGGAAUUACUGGGCGUAAAGCGCGCGUAGGCGGCUUUGUAAGUUAGAGGUGAAAGCCCAGGGCUUAACCCUGGAAUUGCCUUUAAGACUGCAUCGCUAGAAUUGUGGAGAGGUAAGUGGAAUUCCGAGUGUAGAGGUGAAAUUCGUAGAUAUUCGGAAGAACACCAGUGGCGAAGGCGACUUACUGGACACAUAUUGACGCUGAGGUGCGAAAGCGUGGGGAGCAAACAGG
Molecule: ribosomal RNA, 253 nt
Filed under: uncultured bacterium
Lineage: Bacteria
Description: partial 16S ribosomal RNA
Rfam family: Bacterial small subunit ribosomal RNA
Source: RNAcentral